RNAcentral lists this transfer RNA (85 nucleotides) under Elizabethkingia miricola. RNAcentral describes it as "tRNA-Leu". It matches the Rfam family "tRNA". From Rfam's summary of the family: Transfer RNA (tRNA) molecules are approximately 80 nucleotides in length. Their secondary structure includes four short double-helical elements and three loops (D, anti-codon, and T loops). RNAcentral also lists the same sequence under 1 other name. Lineage: Bacteria; Pseudomonadati; Bacteroidota; Flavobacteriia; Flavobacteriales; Weeksellaceae. The record is from RNAcentral.
GCCUGUGUGGUGAAAUUGGUAGACACGCCAUCUUGAGGGGGUGGUAUCCAAUAGGAUGUGCUGGUUCGAAUCCAGUCGCAGGCAC